UCUCAACAUUGUUUUCUCCGCUUGAUCUAGGAUUCUUUGUACCCUAAAACUAAGAUUAGGUCAAACUCCAAUGGAGGUUGUACGAGAUUGUACGUCUCAAAUAUUUGUUUGGAAUCACUGUAUUGGUCUCCUUCAUGACGUAUCGUUCCCGAUUCAUGGCCUCUGUUACGUUAUGUAAUUAAGUGUUCAUCGCUAUCAACAUCGUUCUUUACUCAUUGGACCCACUGCACUCAUGAUUCAUCAUUCAAUACUUCUCUUCUCUUUUCCAGGCGGUUAAACUUCACCUAAAAAGUAUGUCUUCUUCCUAUAAACGUUAUCCUCACCAAUCCACAAAAUUGCGACUCCGAGUCUCCAUCGUCUUCAGUUGACCGGAAGAAGCUUCAAGCUAAGCCUUUGAAUUCAGCCGUUGAUGAUUGGGUUGGCAGGUUGUUGGCUCUGGUUUCUUCAGACAUGCCAGAUAAAUGCUGGGUGGGUGUCGAUUUGAUGGGAGUAACUUGCCAAGAGUGCAGCUCAGAUCGUUUCUUUAGUUUAUACUUUGUUUGGUUCAACAGCUUACUAUCGCAUAUUAAGAAUCCAGAAAGUUCUAGAAUUGUUCGAGUGGUUUCAUGUACUUCAAUCUCUGAUCUCAUUACAAGACUGUCUAGAUUCACGAAUACGAAGAAAGAUGCAGUUUCUCAUGCUUCGAAAGUAAUCUUUCCAUCAUUAAACUAUUGGAGGAAGAAUCUUCAAAGGCACUAUGGGUAAGUGUCAUAAUAUGAUUGAUUAAAUGUCCUUUUGUUAAUGAAAAUCAAGUUCUUAAUAUAGUAUUAGAAAUUAUAUUAUUAUUAUUAUUUCUGCUUUUUGUUUCAUACAUGGAUUUUUUAGAUUCUGGUAAUAUAAGCUUUAUGAGUUCGUCUCUUUACAUGUCUUAAACUGUGGUAGAAGAAAGAAAGAACAAUUAUACUGAAACAAGACGAACUAAGUGACCUUCGUAUCAAAACCAUUUUAGCAUGAAUGAAUUCCCACUAUAGUAAACAGUUAAUGUUAUAUACAUAUUUCAUGGAAAGUAGGAGGUUGGAUAACCGAGAUGUGAGUAGAGGGUUUAUGAAAAAAAAAAACAAAAGACAAAAGGUGCGACUAUAAGCUAUUAGCUAGGUAAUACUUAAUUAACAUACUUGAGCACACUUGAGUAAGCAUAAAAUCAAACGUAUGAUAAAGCUUUUCUCUUCUAGGUUGAGGACAAUACACGUAAAAUAUAAAAACAACAAGCAUUUGUAAUCGAUGGAUGAUGUACAAUGAUCAUGCAAGCCUAUUUCGAAAAAAACUUUAGUUACAUAUCAUGUAUUAGCUUGUGGAAUCCAAAGAAAACUAUAAUAUAGAUUUUUAACCACAAUACAAUAUUUGUUAUACUUUGUUAAUAAUUAUUUUGAUCACCAAUCCAUUCUAAGAAAAUAACAGUAUUAUGUAAAUACGAUUAUGAACAUUAUUCAAACAAAUUGUAUAUAGAUAGAAAAUACAUCAACGGAGAUGGAUGAUGAAGAGGAAAAAAAAAAUAAAAGAUAAAUAUUAUAAUAUCCUUAAACAUUAUAAAUUUAACGGUUUUAAAGCCAAAAUAAAAUUUAAAUGGAUUGUGCAUAAAAUUUAUUUUAAUUAAAAUUAAAUAAAUACGAUAAAAGUAUUCAGAUUAAACUAAGCUUAUAUCAUUUUAUAUUUUUUUCAUCACGUGAAAAAUAUUUAAUUUCUUGAGUAGUAAAAGAUUCAAAUCUAAUAGACCAAAAAUAUUUAAUUUCUUAAAAAAAUCUUUUUUUAAAAACAAAAUUGUCUAAUGAUUUAUAUUUUAAUAGUAAGUGUUAAUAUAUACAUAAUAUUAAAAUAAAUUAAAAUGAUAGAAUUAAAAAUAAAUAUUAUGGAAAUACCCCAGCCGUAGCAAGACGAUCUCUGAUCUGAUUUUUUUUUUUAAAUAUUGACUAAACCACUUUCAUCACAGGAACAACAGCCAAUCUGAAAUUCAACCCUUCUGAGCUUAAACGAAGCCAUUGUUUUCAGAAAUACAAAUAAUAAUAGUUUGAAACUCUUGACUCCGUUUUUAUUUUAAAUUUCCGUCGACAUAUGACUCUAACUUAUUUACAGUUCUACAUUUCCCAUUCUGAUGAAAAACAUCCUAUUAAAACUGACCCUAUUAGUUAAAUAAAUGGCUUCAAAUACAGAGUCCCUAAUAUGUAUUUACUACCUUAUUUACACAGCAAAUAAAAUAAUUAUAUUUCAAAUAAGUCGACACAACUGGUGCAUAACAUAACCUCAUAAAAUAUAAUCCAUACAACAAAAACUAAUCAAGCAUACUUAUAACUAAAAAAAUAAUAGUAAUAUUAAAAAAUAGAUUGCAUAUUUUUUAUAAAUAUUUAUUGUUAAGAAUAAAUAGUCAUUCAUAUAUUUCGAUGGGAAACAAUAUAUAUAUAUAUAUAUAUAUAUAUAUAUAAUUUUUAAAAGGGUGUUUGUUUUACUAAUUAACAAUUCAUAUUAAAAUACAAUGCAGCUAUUUAGAUCAAAUUUUGAAUAGUUAUUUAGUUUAAUAUAAUAAUAUUUUAUUGUUAACUAUUUUCCAUACUCUUUUGUAUUCUUUUGUAUUAUGUUAUAAAUAUCUAAACAUCAAUCACAAAAUUUCGGUGAGAAUUUAACAGCUUAUUAAUUUAUAGUCAUUUUUUCAAGUUCAACACAUAAUAUACUGAGUACGAAAAAAAACAUAAAAAUCACUAAGAUUUGAUCAUUAUAUAUUAUUUAUUUCAGCCAAAUGCUCUAUUGGGUUUAAAAUAUAAUUUUAUAUAUAUUAUUUAUUUUAGCUUAUGUUUUACUCUUAAUUGGGUACUUAUGCUGUGGUUAUGGAAGUUGUUAUUAUAUAAUAACUUAUGAGUUGCAUCUAAUAUCCAAAAAUAUUGUUAAUUAUUGAUUCAGAUGUAUAUAUUAGCACACUCACACCUAAAAAGAAGAUGAACUCUGCACUGUAUGCAUUAACAAUAUUGUAAGUAAAGAGAAUUCAACGAAUUGCCGUGCAACCAUAUCUUUCACCACCAGUGCAUCGUUGACUGGUUUAUAUCAAAUUUAAGCUGCCCAACAUGUCAAGAUACGAUACUUUAAUAUUAGUAUUUCCGGUUUACACAACUCAUAAUUAACCGACCUAAUAAUAAAUUUUACUCAUAAAUGCUUACUUAAUCUAUAAUUAUAAGUUUGUCUAUUUCCUUGCUAUUAAUACUCUUUAGAUUCAUCCAACUCCAGAAAAUUUCUAAAAAUGAUGUGAUGGCACCAUGAAAAAAAUACUUAUCAAUACGCCAUGGUAUAUUUAGUCAUCAAAUACAAUAACAUAUAUAGAAUUUAACUAAUAUGUAUAUUUUAAAAUAUAACAAUUUAUAUUGAAUAUUUAUUCUAACUAUUUACAUAAU
Brassica napus (rape) is the source of this 3413-nucleotide long non-coding RNA. RefSeq lists it as uncharacterized. The transcript has 4 exons. The record is from RefSeq and is a predicted model, not a curated record. NCBI's taxonomy places the organism in Eukaryota, Viridiplantae, Streptophyta, Magnoliopsida, Brassicales, Brassicaceae.